RNAcentral lists this ribosomal RNA (393 nucleotides) under uncultured bacterium. RNAcentral's name for it is "partial 16S ribosomal RNA". It matches the Rfam family "Bacterial small subunit ribosomal RNA", at positions 523 to 918 of the family's 1533-position model. The record is from RNAcentral.
AUACGGAGGAUCCGAGCGUUAUCCGGAUUUAUUGGGUUUAAAGGGAGCGUAGGCGGACGCUUAAGUCAGUUGUGAAAGUUUGCGGCUCCACCGUAAAAUUGCAGUUGAUACUGGGUGUCUUGAGUACAGUAGAGGCAGGCGGAAUUCGUGGGGUAGCGGUGGAAUGCUUAGAUAUCACGAAGAACUCCGAUUGCGAAGGCAGCCUGCUGGACUGUAACUGACGCUGAUGCUCGAAAGUGUGGGUAUCAAACAGGAUUAGAUACCCUGGUAGUCCACACAGUAAACGAUGAAUACUCGCUGUUUGCGAUAUACAGUAAGCGGCCAAGCGAAAGCGUUAAGUAUUCCACCUGGGGAGUACGCCGGCAACGGUGAAACUCAAAGGAAUUGACGGGG